RNAcentral lists this ribosomal RNA (253 nucleotides) under uncultured bacterium. RNAcentral describes it as "partial 16S ribosomal RNA". It matches the Rfam family "Bacterial small subunit ribosomal RNA", at positions 524 to 776 of the family's 1533-position model. The record is from RNAcentral.
UACGAAGGGGGCUAGCGUUGCUCGGAAUGACUGGGCGUAAAGGGCGCGUAGGCGGUUUGGACAGUCAGAUGUGAAAUUCCUGGGCUCAACCUGGGGGCUGCAUCUGAUACGUUCGGACUAGAGUGGGGAAGAGGGUCGUGGAAUUCCCAGUGUAGGGGUGAAAUUCGUAGAUAUUGGGAAGAACACCGGUGGCGAAGGCGGCGACCUGGUCCUUGACUGACGCUGAGGCGCGAAAGCGUGGGGAGCAAACAGG